GUGAAUCAUCGAAUUUUUGAACGCAAAUUGCGCUUCCUAGCAUCCCGGGAAGUAUGCCUGUUUGAGGGUCAGUAUUUACAAAAAAAUCGGUUUGGUUGCAAAUUGUGACGUUUCUGGAGUUUGGGAGACCCUAACGUUUUUGGUUAAGGGGCUUAAAAUUGACCUUUUUUGCGUAUUUUUAGAUGUACAUAAUUUUUUUUUUAUUCGUUUAUUCUUAUUGUCAAAAUAUUAU
RNAcentral lists this unclassified non-coding RNA (232 nucleotides) under Glomeraceae sp. RNAcentral's name for it is "partial contains 5.8S ribosomal RNA and internal transcribed spacer 2". The stretch from base 1 to 71 matches the Rfam family "5.8S ribosomal RNA", at positions 84 to 154 of the family's 154-position model. The record is from RNAcentral. Lineage: Eukaryota; Fungi; Glomeromycota; Glomeromycetes; Glomerales; Glomeraceae.